GAUUAGAUACCCUACUAUGCCUAGCUGUAAACACUGACAUACUCUUUGUCCGCCAGAGAAUAACGAGCCAAAGCUUAAAACCCAAAGGACUUGGCGGCGCUCCACACACCCUAGGGGGGCCUGUCACAUAAUCGAUAACCCACGAUAGACCUCACCACUUUUAGCCCACUAGCCUAUAUACCGCCGUCGCCAGCCCAUUCCAAUAGGAAAAAAAAAUGGACCCAAUAGUCUCUUCACUAGCACGACAGGUCAAGGUGUAGCUUAUAAAGCGGCAAAUGAUGGACCACAUUGCUUUUCCAGCCAUACUUGAACUGCCCUGAAACACGCACUUUAAAGGUGAACUUAACAGUAAGGUGGGCAAGAAAGCCCCCCUAAAGAAUGCUCUGGAGCGUGCACACACCGCCCGUCACCCU
Molecule: ribosomal RNA, 413 nt
Filed under: Bradypodion sp. matschiei
Lineage: Eukaryota; Metazoa; Chordata; Lepidosauria; Squamata; Chamaeleonidae
Description: partial 12S ribosomal RNA
Rfam family: Bacterial small subunit ribosomal RNA
Source: RNAcentral